GCAAGUCGAACGGUAACAUAAGAGCUUGCUCUUGAUGACGAGUGGCGGACGGGUGCGUAACACGUAUGCAACAUACCCUCUACAAAGGAAUAGCCCAGAGAAAUUUGGAUUAAUACCUUAUAAUAAUAUGAAUUCGCAUGUUUUCAUAUUUAAAACUUCGGUGGUAGAGGAUUGGCAUGCGUCCCAUUAGAUUGUUGGUGAGGUAACGGCUCACCAAGUCUGCGAUGGGUAGGGGGUCUGAGAGGAUGAUC
RNAcentral lists this ribosomal RNA (251 nucleotides) under uncultured bacterium. Its description in RNAcentral is "partial 16S ribosomal RNA". It matches the Rfam family "Bacterial small subunit ribosomal RNA", at positions 57 to 305 of the family's 1533-position model. The record is from RNAcentral.